Gastrolobium bilobum is the source of this 283-nucleotide long non-coding RNA. RefSeq lists it as uncharacterized. The record is from RefSeq and is a predicted model, not a curated record. The transcript is spliced from 3 exons. Lineage: Eukaryota; Viridiplantae; Streptophyta; Magnoliopsida; Fabales; Fabaceae.
ACUCUUGCUUGCAGCUGGAUUCGGUUUUGGGGAGAUAGGAAAGAGUAGAAGGCUGUUUCUGGUUCGAUUGAGAUAGAUUACUGGUCUGUAGCCAAGGAGGUGCGCAUAAUUAUUAAAGUGUGGGCUGGUUUUGGUGCUGUUGAUUAUUGCUUAGACACAAGGAGGACGAAAGAGCAUAUGAGGACAUGGAUUAUUUGGAUAAUUAUUGUUAAUUGCUACUGUUUGGACUUGAUGUUAUUUUGUCUGUUGGAUGACGUUGGAUGACUGUACUUUUGUUACGUGG